UAUCCUUCUCUCCCUCAUUUCUUCUGUCUCUCUCUAAGUCUCUCAUGACAAGCAUUUUAAGGCCUUAAGCCGAUGCUUGCUUACAAUCGGUCUCACCAUCUCAUUUAUUUAAUAUCUUUUUUUUUAUCAGUGUAACGGAUGGCUGAUGCGAUGCAGCCUAAAAGUUGCUCUUGUCUGGCCCUGAGUGCCCGAUAGCUCGAAAAGUCACUUCACUUCGCGUUUACCAUCUCAGCUACGACUAUGUGUCAAUUCUUAAGCUCUCGCAAGUCACUCCAGUAUAUUUUUACCAAGUGCAGAUCUUUUCCAUCUUUUGUAAUCCGGUUUCGUGCUUAAAGUGUUCUUAUUAUAUUAUUCGACAAUCCAAGUAGCCGGCGCACGCGACAGAAUGAUACCUCACAUGACACUAUGGGGACAUUUUAAAAUACGGAAAUCCCAUAGGGCUUAUUAUAGCCGCCAAUUUGAAUUUUAUGAAUUUUGGGGGGUAAAUCGGGGUCGGACCGUGGUAAACUUUUUGUAUGUUGUUCAGGAAGACCUACUGAUGACGUUCAAAUAGGAAAAAAUUGUUAUGCAAUUUUUCAAACACAUCGUGUUUCUGCCUGACUACAUGCUUUUUGACCUCUCUCGUGAUGUUUUCACACAUUGUCUGUGAACUAACAAGAGUGAAGAGGACGAUGACGGUAAAUAAAUUUUAAAGAAGGGAAAAAGUGAACACUAAUUUUAUUCCUGAACAUAAAGACAUUAAUACUUGUAGAAAAAAUAGAUUGCUUCCGCUGAUUGAUCAGGUGAAGGCCACCCUUGUUAAAGUCGUCUCUCUUAAGUCCAGAUGUUUGGAUCACCGCAAUUCUCUUUUCAUCUUCCUUCGAUCUCGUUAACUUUUUGUGAAUUCGUUUAUUAACGGCCCGAACGAGUGCGUUAAAUUUUGCAUCCUUGUCAUGGCGAUGGAACAGCUCUAACCACACCACCUGGCCGCGCCAAGUCGAGAAAUACGCUUGCAAAUGGCGGUCCUCCUCAGCCGCCAUGCGAACAAAUGGACUGAUAACAGGUAAACGGGGAAUCAACGGGGAACAGGUAGGUAGAAUGGAUAGUACACGGAAGAGAUCGAAAUACGUCACGCAAGCGUAAACAAAACAUGGCGCAGACACCGAAUGCCUAUCGCCAGGUCUUACAUCAGUAGAACAGGAAGAGCGGGAAAUUUGAAAUAUGUAGUGAUAGAAUGGGGAAAGUGACGACACGAGGGACCACUGGCCCUUUAAAUGGGGGACAGAAACCAUAAAAAAUGAGAGCGGAGAGGAGAGAAGGCUUCAUAUCAACGAGAGAGUGAGCUGAAGAGCGAAAACUGGAACAUGAAACAGAUGAACAUGAAAAAUCCUGAAUUUGGCUAGGAUACCUGUGCAUGGCAUGGUGAGUAUUGAAAAUAGAAGGCACGUCGGACAAUCCUUUUGCCACAGGAGGAGACAAGAAGGUCCCAGGCACAAUCCGCUACAGCACAUAAAUCCAAAUGAAGACCAGUUCUCUCCGCAAUUUGCAUGUUGAAUUCGUGAAAAGCUCUCCGAAUGAAAAAAAAGAAAGGGGAGGGGGACCUUUGACUGCGAGAAACUAUGCAAUCAAAUUACUUGUAGCUGACUCCGUAGAGGAGGGCUACGUUGGAUGACUUUCUUAUCAAGGGGAAAAUGAGGAAGGGACCGAAGGGGGAAAAAUCGGGGGGAGACCGAAGGGGGGAGGGGGCCCUGCUCCCAAACGCAACGCGAACCGGACAGAAGCUUACACGGGAGAUAAAAAAAAAAAAACACAACAAAACUUGAACUUCUACUACACUCCGGAUAAUACAAGACAAUAAAAAGAAGCAACCCUCCGAAGAGGAAAUCCAAACAAAAAAGAACAUGGGUGCGAUGAGUAGUCGGCGAUACCCCGUCUAGAGGCCCAUGACCUAGGAAGGUUUGACCCACAUUUACUUGACACUGGUGACCCAGUCAGCUGGGUCUGCGAUGCCGUUGCUGCAUCUCUGAAAACCUUCGUAUUGCACGUUAGGGCAAUCUCGCAAGGAAAAGAAAAAUAGGACACAGUCAUAGGCAGGGCCGCCGACGACUCAUCGGAAACAAUUAUGAGCAUAACUCCAUCAGUCAUAACGAUAAAGAAAAAGAAGUUGAGGUUGAUGCGAUUCUCAGAAAAACAUGACUGACUUCCGGAUAAAAUGUCGCAAAAGGCGACUCGACAGUACUGCGGAACAAACUAAGCUCGCAUCAACUCCGGGUAUUUGCUUGGCGGCAAUAUUGCCACAGACAGAAGCAAGACAAGUUACUGCGAGUACUACGAGCAGCAAUACGAGAUCGUAGGAAAAUCGGCUAUACACCACCCGACGGAUAAAUACGGGUCAAAAUUCAGCGGACAAUUUUUAGCGUUAAAUGAUUAAUAAUCAACACUCGACAUCCUCCUGCAAUUCGGUAAUACGGAUGGUGGUACGACAAGCUAACCGGUGCUCGAACUGCCUUGGACACCAUGAGAGACAAGGCUAGAAACACCAGGAUUCCAUGUAAACUCGGGACACAUUAAAUUAAAAAGACAAACAAUUCAGAGAUGAAGGCAACACGCUCUUGCACUAAGAGCUCUCGGGAGAAGGAGCGUGCACAUCGGCGCCUUCAAAGGCACGGGUAGGCAACAGGUUAUACAUCACACAGGUCAAAUUCAAGCGGAGUGGCACAACGAACACAUUAUCAAAGGUGUGUAAAGAGCACUGAAACGGGAAACUCAAAAAUUGCGCACGACAGCGCACGAUGCCAGGGCUCAUGCAAAGGUUGGCGGAGGCGAAGAAUGCACAGCCCGGGAGGGCGGAUACUCUAGACACCAUGGCGCACAUCAUUGAGACAACGAUUAACUUAAAUAAUUGAUUCUGAAUUGGGCUAAGAAAAUCACAUAAACGCUUGGAGAAACUAGACUUGGAGAAACUGGAGAAACGGGUCACAACAUAUCGAGAGAGAGUUUCGGGAUAGGUCGUUCGCCCGGGGAAACGCCUUCAAAAGCCUGGGUAGGCCACAAUUCGGGCGACCCAAGCGUACACAUCAACCGUAAUUUCUCUGAAAACUACUCUUCUAAGGGGAUUUAAAAGAAAGGAUACGUUGAAACAGAUGACGAGUGCUCAGAGACCCUUUCCAACUAACUAGACUUUGUAUUUCAAGUCAACUCCGGGAAAAUAUCGGGGGGCCAUUCUUAUAACGACUUACUUCCAAUCGGAUAAAAGACACAAGCACGGCUUAAGAGUAGAUGCACUUAUUCAUUACAAGAUAGGUCACACAUCGAGAUAACAUGAUUCACAGAAGCCGUACAGGCUUAAACUACCGCUCGACUUGGAGUGGCUCUGACAGGCCAAUCUUAAGCGUUAAAACAAGAAAAUUGGUGUGAAUGUGAAUCCGGGGGUAACAGCGUAAGGCAACUCUUGAAUCGAUAUAUGGCAACACAACUCUAGGUGAAUCUAAUCUACGUCACCGGGGUUUAAUGUCGGAGAUUCUCUCCGUUUUGCGUCAUCGCGGGUGACGAACAAAGAGUCGAUUGAUCGAACGGAGUACUGAACGGUUAGUAGAGAGUGACGUCACUGUUUUCAACGCUGCUCAACAAAAAGCGUCAAAUAAGAAAAGAUAAG
Molecule: non-coding RNA, 3634 nt
Organism: Bemisia tabaci
Lineage: Eukaryota; Metazoa; Arthropoda; Insecta; Hemiptera; Aleyrodidae
Source: RefSeq, a predicted model, not a curated record